RNAcentral lists this microRNA precursor (78 nucleotides) under Trichobilharzia regenti. RNAcentral describes it as "mir-3492 microRNA precursor family". It matches the Rfam family "mir-3492 microRNA precursor family". The record is from Rfam by way of RNAcentral. Lineage: Eukaryota; Metazoa; Platyhelminthes; Trematoda; Strigeidida; Schistosomatidae.
AGCCAUCUGUAUUCGUGUUGAGAUUUCGUCAGUGAUUAGCCCAUUAGGGCUGAUGCAAUUCCCCAAAUAAGUGAAGCG